UUUGUUGCUGUUACACUCUCCUAACUUUCUCGGGAGUUUUUCGUUCAUAUCUACGUUCAUCUGGAAUUCAGACAAAACUAGGGCAAUUUGGAUGCAAUCUUCAAGGUGUAUACAGUAAACCAAGAUUCACCAAAUGCAAUAAGAGCGUCUAUAAACACAAAAUGUUAUCAGCUAAACUUCCAGUGGUACAAGCUCACAGGGGUAGUACCAUGGCGCCCCAUCAGUCCAACAAGGAAACUUAUGAGUCCUAAUAUGGACCUCGAAACAACGAGAUCCUAAGAGGACUGGCAUGAAAAAAUUAAUCAAAUCAGGAGAAACUGUGUGGGAUACUUCUAUCAGAGCCAGCACGCUAGUAACAUUGGUCAUCUAGAACUGUGGGAUGUGGAUGUGACAACUGAUGCUGAGAACAGGGUACAGAGUUAGAGGGAAGUAACUGAUAAGCUUAGAAUAAUGUAAAAAAAAUGAGACUGCUGAAGUGCUUAUCGCACCAGUGUUGGAACAGACAACUAUCUGACCAUCAUGGAGGAUGA
This is a long non-coding RNA of Macrobrachium nipponense, 530 nucleotides long. RefSeq lists it as uncharacterized. The record is from RefSeq and is a predicted model, not a curated record. NCBI's taxonomy places the organism in Eukaryota, Metazoa, Arthropoda, Malacostraca, Decapoda, Palaemonidae. The transcript is spliced from 3 exons.